Exophiala dermatitidis is the source of this 71-nucleotide transfer RNA. It matches the Rfam family "tRNA". From Rfam's summary of the family: Transfer RNA (tRNA) molecules are approximately 80 nucleotides in length. Their secondary structure includes four short double-helical elements and three loops (D, anti-codon, and T loops). Lineage: Eukaryota; Fungi; Ascomycota; Eurotiomycetes; Chaetothyriales; Herpotrichiellaceae. The record is from Rfam.
GGUGAAUUAAUUUAAUGGAAAAAUUAUGUGCUACGGACACAUUAAUAUAGGUUCAAAUCCUAUAUUCACUA